This 430-nucleotide ribosomal RNA is filed under the name uncultured bacterium. RNAcentral's name for it is "bacterial SSU rRNA". It matches the Rfam family "Bacterial small subunit ribosomal RNA", at positions 355 to 776 of the family's 1533-position model. The record is from RNAcentral.
UGGGGAAUUGUUCGCAAUGGGCGCAAGCCUGACGACGCAACGCCGCGUGGAGGACGAAGAUCUUCGGAUCGUAAACUCCUGUCGUGCGGGACGAAGGUCCUGUGGGAGAACAUCCCAUGGGAGUGACGGUACCGCGAGAGGAAGCCCCGGCUAACUCCGUGCCAGCAGCCGCGGUAAUACGGGGGGGGCGAGCGUUGUUCGGAAUUACUGGGCGUAAAGGGCUCGUAGGCGGCCUCUUAAGUCGGACGUGAAAUCCCCCGGCUCAACCUGGGAACUGCGUCUGAUACUGGGGGGCUGGAAUGCGGGAGAGGGAUGCGGAAUUCCAGGUGUAGCGGUGAAAUGCGUAGAUAUCUGGAGGAACACCGGUGGCGAAGGCGGCAUCCUGGACCGUGAUUGACGCUGAGGAGCGAAAGCCAGGGGAGCAAACGGG